This 253-nucleotide ribosomal RNA is filed under the name uncultured bacterium. RNAcentral's name for it is "partial 16S ribosomal RNA". It matches the Rfam family "Bacterial small subunit ribosomal RNA", at positions 524 to 776 of the family's 1533-position model. The record is from RNAcentral.
UACAGAGGUCCCGCGCGUUGUUCGGAUUCACUGGGCGUAAAGGGUGCGUAGGUGGCAUGUUAAGUUUGAUGUGAAAGCUCAGGGCUUAACCCUGAAAUGGCAUUGAAUACUAGCGUGCUGGAGGUUUGGAGGGGGGACUGGAAUUCUCGGUGUAGCAGUGAAAUGCGUAGAUAUCGAGGGGAACACCAGUGGCGAAGGCGAGUCCCUGGACAACACCUGACACUGAGGCACGAAAGCCGGGGGAGCAAACAGG